This is a long non-coding RNA of Cryptomeria japonica (Japanese cedar), 1082 nucleotides long. RefSeq lists it as uncharacterized. NCBI's taxonomy places the organism in Eukaryota, Viridiplantae, Streptophyta, Pinopsida, Cupressales, Cupressaceae. The record is from RefSeq and is a predicted model, not a curated record. The transcript has 3 exons.
UUUUGCAGCGGAGCGUUGGAGCCUAAUGCCAGCCUAGAUGCUUUCUUCAGGGAGAGCUCAAAUUAAAUUUUGUAGAAUCGGCUUGAACGUUGGAAGAGCUUGCCGUUGGAACAUUGGAGCCUAGCCGUUGGGAGAUUCAUGCAUGUCUAUAAAAUCGGGACAAGAGAAUUUGUUUAGAGAGCUUGAACGUUAGAAGAGCUUACCGCGGGAACGUUGGAGCCUCAGGCCAGCUGGACUAGCCGUUGGAGAUUCAUACAUUUGAAGCCAUGGUCUGUAAAAUCAGGGCAAGAGAGGGUAAGAGGAUUUGUGGUAGGGACUGGUAGUGGAACUGAGAUACAUACAUUUGAAGCCACGGCCUAUAAAAUCAGGGCAAGAGAGGGAGAUAUGAUUUGUGGUAGGGACUGGCGGUGGGGCUGAGAUUCAUAGAUUUGAAGUCAUGGCCUAUAAAAUCAGGGCAAGAGAGGGAGAGAGGAUUUGUGGUAGGAAAUGGCAAUGGGAAUGAGGAGUGUUGGGUAAUUGGGAAGAAGGUGCUUACAGAAUGGUUUAUCUCUUUUGAAAGAUUUAAACUAAGUCCCAACGUGUAAUGUAACUCUUGGUUCGUGGUUAAAAGGGCUUGACAGUGAGCUGGUUGUGAUCGAUCAGACUCAGAUGAUUUAAAAGUGAGGAUCACAGUAUGUAGUCUAGGAUCAGGCAGGAGAUGCAGAUAAUGAAUAAGUAGCUAUAAUGCAUUCGUCUGAGUUCAACGAUUAUUUGCUCCAUUAUGCAGAGGAAUACAAAUGGCACCUGAAUGCUCUGCACAGGUUUGACAAGUAUACCAUAUCAAUUAGGCAUUUGCAAAGUAUCCAGAUAUAUGGAAUGUGCAAUGUGCAAUGUGCAAAUUAUAACUGAAUGGAAUUAUGCCCAGUUAUAAUUUGCACAUUCCUCAAUGCUCUGCACAGGUCUGACUAGUAUACUAUAUUUCAUGUCUUCGUACCUUCAUUCAUUGGUGGUCAAAUAAUAUCGUAUAUUGUAAACUAUUUUUAUUUUCUAUGAAAAGAGAAAUUACAUAACUUUUUCUAAUGAAUAUUAAUUUUAGAGUAUUU